RNAcentral lists this ribosomal RNA (496 nucleotides) under uncultured bacterium. RNAcentral describes it as "partial 16S ribosomal RNA". It matches the Rfam family "Bacterial small subunit ribosomal RNA", at positions 28 to 506 of the family's 1533-position model. The record is from RNAcentral.
GAUGAACGCUGGCGGCGUGCCUAAUACAUGCAAGUCGAGCGAACAGACGAGGAGCUUGCUCCUCUGACGUUAGCGGCGGACGGGUGAGUAACACGUGGAUAACCUACCUAUAAGACUGGGAUAACUUCGGGAAACCGGAGCUAAUACCGGAUAAUAUAUUGAACCGCAUGGUUCAAUAGUGAAAGACGGUUUUGCUGUCACUUAUAGAUGGAUCCGCGCCGCAUUAGCUAGUUGGUAAGGUAACGGCUUACCAAGGCAACGAUGCGUAGCCGACCUGAGAGGGUGAUCGGCCACACUGGAACUGAGACACGGUCCAGACUCCUACGGGAGGCAGCAGGAGGGAAUCUUCCGCAAGGGGCGAAAGCCUGACGGAGCAACGCCGCGUGAGUGAUGAAGGUCUUCGGAUCGUAAAACUCUGUUAUUAGGGAAGAACAAAUGUGUAAGUAACUAUGCACGUCUUGACGGUACCUAAUCAGAAAGCCACGGCUAACUACGU